This 630-nucleotide ribosomal RNA is filed under the name uncultured Thermoprotei archaeon. RNAcentral describes it as "bacterial SSU rRNA". It matches the Rfam family "Archaeal small subunit ribosomal RNA", at positions 172 to 804 of the family's 1478-position model. Lineage: Archaea; Thermoproteati; Thermoproteota; Thermoprotei. The record is from RNAcentral.
GGAAUGGAUCAUGGCUUAAAUUCUACAUGGCCCCUGGAUUGGACUGCGGCCGAUCAGGCUGUUGGUGAGGUAAUGGCCCACCAAACCUAUAACCGGUACGGGCUCUGAGAGGAGAAGCCCGGAGAUGGGCACUGAGACAAGGGCCCAGGCCCUAUGGGGCGCAGCAGGCGCGAAACCUCUGCAAUAGGCGAAAGCCUGACAGGGUUACUCUGAGUGAUUUCCGCUAAGGGGAUCUUUUGGCACCUCUAAAAAUGGUGCAGAAUAAGGGGUGGGCAAGUCUGGUGUCAGCCGCCGCGGUAAUACCAGCACCCCGAGUGGUCGGGACGAUUAUUGGGCCUAAAGCAUCCGUAGCCGGUUCUGCAAGUCUUCCGUUAAAUCCAGCCGCUCAACGGAUGGGCCGCGGAGGAUACUACAGGACUAGGAGGCGGGAGAGGCAAGCGGUACUCAGUGGGUAGGGGUAAAAUCCUUUGAUCCAUUGAAGACCACCAGUGGCGAAGGCGGCUUGCCAGAACGCGCUCGACGGUGAGGGAUGAAAGCUGGGGGAGCAAACCGGAUUAGAUACCCGGGUAGUCCCAGCUGUAAACGAUGCAGACUCGGUGAUGGGCUAGCCUUGUGCCAGCCCAGUGCCGC